RNAcentral lists this ribosomal RNA (467 nucleotides) under uncultured bacterium. RNAcentral's name for it is "partial 16S ribosomal RNA". It matches the Rfam family "Bacterial small subunit ribosomal RNA", at positions 29 to 507 of the family's 1533-position model. The record is from RNAcentral.
ACGAACGCUGGCGGCGUGCUUAACACAUGCCAGUCGAACGGAAAGGCCCUGCUUUUGUGGGGUGCUCGAGUGGCGAACGGGUGAGUAACACGUGAGUAACCUGCCCUUUACUUUGGGAUAACUUCAGGAAACUGGGGCUAAUACCGGCUAGGAGCUCCUUCUGCAUGGUGGGGGUUGGAAAGUUUCGGCGGUUGGGGAUGGACUCGCGGCUUAUCAGCUUGUUGGUGGGGUAGUGGCUUACCAAGGCUUUGACGGGUAGCCGGCCUGAGAGGGUGACCGGCCACAUUGGGACUGAGAUACGGCCCAGAAUCCUACGGGAGGCAGCAGUGGGGAAUAUUGCACAAUGGGCGGAAGCCUGAUGCAGCAACGCCGCGUGCGGGAUGACGGCCUUCGGGUUGUAAACCGCUUUCGCAUGUGACGAAGCGUGAGUGACGGUAAUGGGUAAAGAAGCACCGGCUAACUACGUG